UUUGAUUUUAAACAUUAACUUUAAUAAAAUUUUAAAAUCUGUUCUUAUCAGUUUAAUAUCUGCUAUGUCCUUUAUUUGAGGACUGUAUAUUAAAUCGAUUUUUGAAACAGGGGGAUGGAAUAGGAGCUUGCUCUGUCCACCCCAUGCAUUGACCUGGUAUUGCAGUGCCUCCAGGAACGGUGCAUUUCCU
Dermochelys coriacea (leatherback sea turtle) is the source of this 190-nucleotide small nuclear RNA. RefSeq annotates it as U2 spliceosomal RNA. The transcript has a single exon. Lineage: Eukaryota; Metazoa; Chordata; Testudines; Dermochelyidae. The record is from RefSeq and is a predicted model, not a curated record.